Molecule: ribosomal RNA, 460 nt
Filed under: uncultured bacterium
Lineage: Bacteria
Description: partial 16S ribosomal RNA
Rfam family: Bacterial small subunit ribosomal RNA
Source: RNAcentral
CCUACGGGUGGCAGCAGUGAGGAAUAUUGGUCAAUGGACGAGAGUCUGAACCAGCCAAGUAGCGUGAAGGAUGACUGCCCUAUGGGUUGUAAACUUCUUUUAUACAGGAAUAAAACGAGGCACGUGUGCCUUUUUGCAUGUACUUUAUGAAUAAGGAUCGGCUAACUCCGUGCCAGCAGCCGCGGUAAUACGGAGGAUCCGAGCGUUAUCCGGAUUUAUUGGGUUUAAAGGGAGCGUAGAUGGGUUGUUAAGUCAGUUGUGAAAUCUUGCGGCUCAACCGUGACAUUGCAUUUGAUACUGGCGGGCUUGAGUACAGUUGAGGUAGGCGGAAUGCGUGGUGUAGCGGUGAAAUGCAUAGAGAUCACGAAGAACCCCGAUUGCGAAGGCAGCUUACUAAACUGUGACUGACGUUGAUGCUCGAAAGCGUGGGUAGCAAACAGGAUUAGAUACCCUUGUAGUC